CACCUCUCAACUAAGGGCGAAUGGUGGAUGCCUAGACUCUAAAAGGCGAUGAAGGACGCGGCGUAGCGGCGAUACGCCUCGGGGAGGUGCGUAGCAACCUGUGAUCCGGGGAUUUCCGAAUGGGGCAACCUUAUUGAGCAAACCUCAAUAGCUCAACGCAAGUUGAGAGCGAACCAGGCGAAGUAAAACAUUUCAGUAGCCUGAGGAAUAAAGAACAAAAGUUUAUCCCCCUAGUAUCGGCGAGAGAAAAGGGGAGAGCCCAGACUGAGAUUAAAUUUAUUUAAUUUCAGAGUUAUAAGUUUAAAGGCGGCGUUUGCGCAGCUUACAGCUCCCAGCAUCCAGCUAAAAACUGGAGGCCGGCAGCUGGUAGCAGCGUAAGCGGAGAAGUUACAAAAUCAUCGGUUAGCCAAAGCCGACUGGAAAGCGGCGCCAGAGCGGGUGAUAGCCCCCUAGGCGAAAACAGAUGAUCUUCUUAGUCUUUUUUCUUGAGUACUUCGGAGUAAAACAGUUCCGGAGGAAUUCGCCAGUACUAUCUGGCAAGGCUAAAUACUUUUAGAGAUCGAUAGUGAACAAGUACCGUGAGGGAAAGGUGAAAAGCAGGCCGGUGAGGCCGUUGAAAUAGAACCUGAAACCAUUUGUCUACAAGGAAAAGAAGUGGGAAGUGGGAGGUGGGAUGUGGGAAGCGAGAUUUCUCACUCCUCACAUCUCACCCCUCACCCCACAACUUUGUGCCUAUUGAAGAAUGAGCCAACGACUUAUUUUGUAUUGCAGUCUAAGCACCAUUGGUGCGAAGGCGUAGGGAAACCGAGUGUUAAAAGCGCGCAAUAUAUGCAGUACGAUAUAGACCCGAAGCCAGAUGAGCUUGCCCUGGGCAGGUUGAAGUUUCCCGAAAGGGAGAUGGAGGACCGAACUGGUGAGUUGUUCAACACUCUCGGAUGACCUGGGGUAAGGAGUGAAAAGCUAAUCGAAUCUGGUAAUAGCUGGUUCUCUCCGAAAUAGUUUUAGGACUAGCGGUAUCGAUAAACUGUGUGGGGGUAGAGCACUGGAUGGUUCGUACAGUCCGAAAGGGCGGCGCACCAAUCAAACUCCGAAUACCAUGCAAGGCACCGAUACUAGUCAGACUGCGGGGGCUAAGCUCCGUGGUCGCGAGGGGAAGAGCCCAGAUCGCAAGUUAAGGUCCCCAAAUCUACGCUCAGUGCGAAAGGCAGUCGCAGACCAUAGACAGGUAGGAGGUUGGCUUAGAGGUAGCCAUCCUUUAAAGAGUGUGUAACAACUCACUACUCGAUGGUUUGCGGCGCCGAAAAUGUACCGGGACUCAAGCGUAGUACCGAAACUGCGGGUGGGAUGCAGAUGCGAGGGAUUCUUGAAGACGGUCUUUAAAGACGGUCUUCAAGUUCGGAUUCC
Molecule: ribosomal RNA, 1404 nt
Filed under: Patescibacteria group bacterium
Lineage: Bacteria
Description: partial 23S ribosomal RNA
Rfam family: Bacterial large subunit ribosomal RNA
Source: RNAcentral